UAAACGGUUUUGUGCGCUUGGAC
This 23-nucleotide non-coding RNA is filed under the name Arabidopsis thaliana (thale cress). Lineage: Eukaryota; Viridiplantae; Streptophyta; Magnoliopsida; Brassicales; Brassicaceae. The record is from RNAcentral.